Molecule: RNase P RNA, 344 nt
Filed under: Bacillota bacterium
Lineage: Bacteria; Bacillati; Bacillota
Description: RNase P RNA component class A
Rfam family: Bacterial RNase P class A
About the family: Ribonuclease P (RNase P) is a ubiquitous endoribonuclease, found in archaea, bacteria and eukarya as well as chloroplasts and mitochondria. Its best characterised activity is the generation of mature 5'-ends of tRNAs by cleaving the 5'-leader elements of precursor-tRNAs. Cellular RNase Ps are ribonucleoproteins.
Source: RNAcentral
UGACUUAGCCAGACAAUCGCGUGUAAGAAAUUAUACGAGGAAAGUCCGGGCUCCAAAGAGCAGGGUGCUGGGUAACUCCCAGUGGAGGCGACUCUAAGGAUAGUGCAAUAGAAAGAUACCGCCAGAUUUAUUCUGGUAAGGGUGGAAUGGUGAGGUAAGAGCUCACCAGCGUAUAGGUGACUAUAUGGCUCUGUAAACCCCAUCUGGAGCAAGACCAAGUAGGGAAUCAAAAAGGCGGUUGCUCGCUGUCUUCCCGGAGGUAGGUCGCUUGAGUCUAAGGGUAACCUUAGGCCUAGAUAGAUGAUUGUCUAAUACAGAACCCGGCUUAUAGGUUAUGUCGCAGA